CCUAUCAGCUUUCGACGGUAUGGUAUUGGCUUACCGUGGCAGUGACGGUUAACGGGGGAUUAGGGUUCGAUUCCGGAGAGGGAGCCUGAGAAACGGCUACCACAUCUAAGGAAGGCAGCAGGCGCGCAAAUUACCCAAUUCUAACAGUUUGAGAGAGGUAGUAACAAGAAAUAACAAUACAAGGCAGUUAAAAUGCUUUGUAAUUGGAAUGAUAGAAAUUUAAACCCUUUUUAAAGUAUCAAUUGGAGGGCAAGUCUGGUGCCAGCAGCCGCGGUAAUUCCAGCUCCAAUAGCGUAUAUUAAAAUUGUUGCAGUUAAAAAGCUCGUAGUUGAAGUUCUGCUGAAAGUAACCGGUCUGCUUUUAAUAAAAGUGGUAUCUUGGUAUGUAUUUAGCAAUGAUGUCCUUUGAAGUGUUUUUUACUUUAUUGUAAUAAAGCAUAUUCAGGACUUUUACUUUGAGAAAAUUAGAGUGUUUCUAGCAGGCUGACGCUUUGAAUACUGCAGCAUGGAAUAAUAAGAUAGGAUUUUAGUUCUACAUUAUUGGUUUUAAGAGCUAAAUUAAUGAUUGAUAGGGACAGUUGGGGGCAUUUGUAUUUAA
Molecule: ribosomal RNA, 597 nt
Filed under: Hepatozoon sp.
Lineage: Eukaryota; Apicomplexa; Hepatozoidae
Description: bacterial SSU rRNA
Rfam family: Eukaryotic small subunit ribosomal RNA
Source: RNAcentral